Mus musculus (house mouse) is the source of this 500-nucleotide long non-coding RNA. RefSeq annotates it as predicted gene, 40304. The record is from RefSeq and is a predicted model, not a curated record. The transcript is spliced from 3 exons. Lineage: Eukaryota; Metazoa; Chordata; Mammalia; Rodentia; Muridae.
ACGGGCAAGAGGGGAAGAGGGAGAGAGUAAAGGCGGCCCUGCACAUGAGGGAACUUGGAAAAGCCAGGCUGACUUUCAUUUCAUAUAUGGUUUGCUGGUCGACACUUCCUUUUGAUGGUCUGCCUCAUCCAUCACCUUUCUCCUGGUAUUGGGCCUGCCUCGUGGUUUCAAAUAUGGCCGCCAUGCUGUAAGAACAGGAAAGAAAGCCCUGUUUCUAAAGAGAAACAGAAUUCAGUACAAGCAAUUUUGUCCCAAAAGGGUUUGGGGAGCUGAUUCAGUGGAUAACGGGCUUGCUGUGCAAACAUGAAGAUCUGAACUUGGAUCCUGAGCAUCUGCAUAGAAACUGGUUGUGGUGACUGAUGCCUGUGACCCCAGCACUAGGAAGCAGGGGCAGGAAGAUUCCUGGGGAUUGCCUGACCAAGCCAGUCUCACCAACUUUGCAAGGCCUGGUUCAGUGAGAAUCUCUGUCUCAUAAUAUAAUAAACAUGCUAGUCAUGGUA